ACUCCUACGGGAGGCAGCAGUGGGAAGUCUUGGACAAUGGGCGCAAGCCUGAUCCAGCCAUGCCGCGUGAGUGAUGAAGGCCCUAGGUCGUAAAGCUCUUUCGCCUGUGAUGAUAAUGACAGUAGCAGGUAAAGAAACCCCGGCUAACUCCGUGCCAGCAGCCGCGGUAAUACGGAGGGGGUUAGCGUUGUUCGGAAUUACUGGGCGUAAAGCGCGCGUAGGCGGACUAUUAAGUCAGAGGUGAAAUCCCGGGGCUCAACCCCGGAACUGCCUUUGAUACUGGUAGUCUAGAGUUCGAGAGAGGUGAGUGGAAUUCCGAGUGUAGAGGUGAAAUUCGUAGAUAUUCGGAGGAACACCAGUGGCGAAGGCGGCUCACUGGCUCGAUACUGACGCUGAGGUGCGAAAGUGUGGGGAGCAAACAGGAUUAGAUACCCUGGUAGGAUAGCG
RNAcentral lists this ribosomal RNA (447 nucleotides) under uncultured bacterium. RNAcentral describes it as "bacterial SSU rRNA". It matches the Rfam family "Bacterial small subunit ribosomal RNA", at positions 335 to 799 of the family's 1533-position model. The record is from RNAcentral.